Molecule: transfer RNA, 67 nt
Filed under: Rivularia auriculata
Lineage: Eukaryota; Metazoa; Mollusca; Gastropoda; Architaenioglossa; Viviparidae
Also listed under: 2 other names
Description: tRNA-Phe
Source: RNAcentral
AUCUUAAUAGCUUAAGUUACAAAGCAAAGCAUUGAAGCUGCUAGAAUGGCAAUAAUGUCUUAAGAUA